CACGUGUGGGGCCAGCCCGCUGGCUCCCCCUCACGGCGGAGAAGGAAGCAGAGUAAAUGGCCCCACAGGCACAGGGCCGAGAAACAGACCACGCCAAAGGAAAUGUAGGUGUGGGACCCUGGAGUGCUGAAAGGAACACUUGGUAAGGGAAGCUCAGUGAGAACGGCAGGGUACCAAAGUCAAGAGUCUUCUGCCUGCCCUGAGCAGAAAGAAGACCAUCAUGGUGGCUGUGUUAAAAAUAGUAACUGGAAGGAAUCCCAACAAAAUACAGUUGUUGGGCAAGGACACAACAAAAACUGCAGCAAAUUGCAACAUAUAAGAAUGGAGUUAAGUCCCAGCACCUGGCAGGUACUGAGUAAAGUACACAGUGUAUUUUCUUAAUCCUUAAACUUGUGAUGAAGGCCAGGAGAAAUGUGGAGGGUGACAUUUGGCGGGAAGAAGUGAACUACACAACUCAGACCUGCUGUGCCAGUAUACCCCUUCUCUUAAUGAAAACAGAAAAGAAGAAAGGAAGACUGGAGAUGUAGCUUAGUUGCAGAGUGCUUGCUUGCAUGCUGAAGACCCUGGUUUGAUCCUCAGCACUGAAAAAAAAAAAAAUGAAGAUAACCAAAAUGCAAUGAAAAAAGAAAAGA
This is a long non-coding RNA of Fukomys damarensis (Damara mole-rat), 632 nucleotides long. RefSeq lists it as uncharacterized. The transcript has 4 exons. The record is from RefSeq and is a predicted model, not a curated record. Lineage: Eukaryota; Metazoa; Chordata; Mammalia; Rodentia; Bathyergidae.